RNAcentral lists this ribosomal RNA (789 nucleotides) under uncultured bacterium. RNAcentral describes it as "bacterial SSU rRNA". It matches the Rfam family "Bacterial small subunit ribosomal RNA", at positions 8 to 796 of the family's 1533-position model. The record is from RNAcentral.
AGAGUUUGAUCAUGGCUCAGAUUGAACGCUGGCGGCAUGCCUUACACAUGCAAGUCGAACGCGAAAGGGGGCAACCCCGAGUAGAGUGGCGAACGGGUGAGCAAUACAUCGGAACAUUUCCUGUAGCGGGGGACAACCCCGAGAAAUCGGGGCUAAUACCGCAUACGAUCUACGGAUGAAAGUGGGGGACCGCAAGGCCUCACACUAUAGGAGUGGCCGAUGCCGGAUUAGCUAGUUGGUGGGGUAAUGGCCUACCAAGGCGACGAUCCGUAGCUGGUUUGAGAGAACGACCAGCCACACUGGGACUGAGACACGGCCCAGACUCCUACGGGAGGCAGCAGUGGGGAAUUUUGGACAAUGGGCGCAAGCCUGAUCCAGCCAUGCCGCGUGAGUGAAGAAGGCCUUCGGGUUGUAAAGCUCUUUCGGCCGGGACGAAAUGGCGUGGGGUAACAUCCCGCGUCGAUGACGGUACCGGAAGAAGAAGGACCGGCUAACUACGUGCCAGCAGCCGCGGUAAUACGUAGGGUCCAAGCGUUAAUCGGAAUUACUGGCNNNNAGCGUGUGCAGGCGGUUUCGAAAGUCCGAUGUGAAAUCCCCGGGCUUAACCUGGGAACUGCGUUGGAAACUACGAGGCUAGAGUGCGGCAGAGGGGGGUGGAAUUCCAGGUGUAGCAGUGAAAUGCGUAGAGAUCUGGAGGAACACCGAUGGCGAAGGCAGCCCCCUGGGUUAGCACUGACGCUCAUACACGAAAGCGUGGGGAGCAAACAGGAUUAGAUACCCUAGUAGUCC